Molecule: long non-coding RNA, 180 nt
Organism: Ipomoea nil (Japanese morning glory)
Lineage: Eukaryota; Viridiplantae; Streptophyta; Magnoliopsida; Solanales; Convolvulaceae
Exons: 4
Source: RefSeq, a predicted model, not a curated record
GGAGAUUGUUGACUCAAAGUGUUUUUGUUAUGUGCUCCCGUCAUGGGCAAGAAAACAUAAGGAAAAAGAAAGAAAGAAUAAUAGUUGGAACAGGAAAAGAAUAAAACACUGGGUUUGCUUGAGACCCAAAACUCCCUUGGACCCUUUUUGGGAUUGAAUUUCUGAUUGUCUAUUAUUACA